RNAcentral lists this ribosomal RNA (465 nucleotides) under Vreelandella stevensii. RNAcentral's name for it is "partial 16S ribosomal RNA". It matches the Rfam family "Bacterial small subunit ribosomal RNA", at positions 338 to 795 of the family's 1533-position model. The record is from RNAcentral. Lineage: Bacteria; Pseudomonadati; Pseudomonadota; Gammaproteobacteria; Oceanospirillales; Halomonadaceae.
CCUACUGGGGGCUGCAGUGGGGAAUAUUGGACAAUGGGGGGAACCCUGAUCCAGCCAUGCCGCGUGUGUGAAGAAGGCCCUCGGGUUGUAAAGCACUUUCAGUGAGGAAGAACGCCUGGUGGUUAAUACCCAUCAGGAAAGACAUCACUCACAGAAGAAGCACCGGCUAACUCCGUGCCAGCAGCCGCGGUAAUACGGAGGGUGCGAGCGUUAAUCGGAAUUACUGGGCGUAAAGCGCGCGUAGGUGGCUUGAUAAGCCGGUUGUGAAAGCCCCGGGCUCAACCUGGGAACGGCAUCCGGAACUGUCAAGCUAGAGUGCAGGAGAGGAAGGUAGAAUUCCCGGUGUAGCGGUGAAAUGCGUAGAGAUCGGGAGGAAUACCAGUGGCGAAGGCGGCCUUCUGGACUGACACUGACACUGAGGUGCGAAAGCGUGGGUAGCAAACAGGAUUAGAUACCCCUGUAGUC